This 772-nucleotide long non-coding RNA is filed under the name Takifugu rubripes (torafugu). RNAcentral describes it as "lncRNA (ENSTRUG00000030396.1)". Lineage: Eukaryota; Metazoa; Chordata; Actinopteri; Tetraodontiformes; Tetraodontidae. The record is from RNAcentral.
CCAAUUCAUUGGAGAUGUUGACACCUUGGACAUCAAAGGACAGAUCCCAGUGAAACCAAGAAUGUAUUUAAGAUCUCAUCCCUCAAAACACACCUGGCAACAGUAAAAACGCAUUAAUGACAAAAGUGUCGUCAAAUGUGUCCUUGGCCCAAUUUAACUGUUGUCAUGGUAAUUUACCUUUGAAGAUUUUAUGUAAGAUUUGAAAAAAAAAAGUCUUUAUAGUGGAAAAAUUAUGAAAUAUUAUGCCUGUUUUUCCUCAUAUAUAUGCUUAUAUAUAUAUAUAAAUGUGCGUGUGUGUGUGUUACAUGCUGAGCUGGAUGCCACACCAGUAUCGGAAGUCACCAUUAGAGGAACGCAUCAUCAUUGAGACAUGGUCCCUGACAGCUUUAAGGAGGGCACAUGUUCAAAUGCCAUGUCUGGAGGUGCCAAGAGUUUAAAAGAGCCAAAGGAGGAUUCACAAAGCAUCCAGAAACAUAGACAACGCUAAUUGCCCUUUUUAAAAGCAUUUUAGAUGCUAUCUGUGCUUUGACCAACUAUAUGGAUUCAUAUAUGAUUCAGUGAAAGAUAUCCCUGCAACAGCACUGCCAUGGCAACAGACUGAAACUUUAAGAAUAGAUUUAAGAAUAGUGAUGAUUCCCAGUUUGAUGGUUUCCCCAAGCAAGGAGAAAAUGUCAUGAUGCAAGUUCAAGAAAUGGACCCAAUUCAAAAGAGAAUGAGGAAAAAAAACCUUCCUUUUAAAACACAACACAAUAGCAAUAAAAGCAAAAUAUCG